This 438-nucleotide ribosomal RNA is filed under the name uncultured bacterium. RNAcentral describes it as "bacterial SSU rRNA". It matches the Rfam family "Bacterial small subunit ribosomal RNA", at positions 958 to 1397 of the family's 1533-position model. The record is from RNAcentral.
AACGCGAAGAACCUUACCCAGGCUCGAAAUGUAGGGGGCGCACUCAGAGAUGAGUGUUUCCGUAAGGACUCCUAUAUAGGUGCUGCAUGGCUGUCGUCAGCUCGUGCCGUGAGGUGUUUGGUUAAGUCCAGCAACGAGCGCAACCCUUAUCAUUAGUUGCCAACAUUUAAGGUGGGAACUCUAAUGAGACUGCCUGGGUUAACCAGGAGGAAGGUGAGGAUGACGUCAAGUCCGCAUGGCCUUUAUGUCUGGGGCUACACACGUGCUACAAUGGUCGGUACAGAAGGCUGCAAGACCGUAAGGUGGAGCAAAUCCGUAAAGCCGAUCUCAGUUCAGAUUGUGGUCUGCAACUCGACCACAUGAAGUUGGAAUUGCUAGUAAUGACGUGUCAGCAACAGCGUCGUGAAUACGUUCCCGGGCCUUGUACACACCGCAUAC